This 492-nucleotide ribosomal RNA is filed under the name uncultured bacterium. Its description in RNAcentral is "partial 16S ribosomal RNA". It matches the Rfam family "Bacterial small subunit ribosomal RNA", at positions 29 to 507 of the family's 1533-position model. The record is from RNAcentral.
AGUGAACGCUGGCGGUAGGCCUAACACAUGCAAGUCGAACGGCAGCACAGUAAGAGCUUGCUCUUACGGGUGGCGAGUGGCGGACGGGUGAGGAAUACAUCGGAAUCUACUUUUUCGUGGGGGAUAACGUAGGGAAACUUACGCUAAUACCGCAUACGACCUACGGGUGAAAGCAGGGGAUCUUCGUACCUUGCGCGAUUGAAUGAGCCGAUGUCGGAUUAGCUAGUUGGCGGGGUAAAGGCCCAACAAGGCGACGAUCCGUAGCUGGUCUGAGAGGAUGAUCAGCCACACUGGAACUGAGACACGGUCCAGACUCCUACGGGAGGCAGCAGUGGGGAAUAUUGGACAAUGGGCGCAAGCCUGAUCCAGCCAUACCGCGUGGGUGAAGAAGGCCUUCGGGUUGUAAAGCCCUUUUGUUGGGAAAGAAAAGCAGCAGGUUAAUACCCCGCUGUUCUGACGGUACCCAAAGAAUAAGCACCGGCUAACUUCGUG